Silurus meridionalis is the source of this 545-nucleotide long non-coding RNA. RefSeq lists it as uncharacterized. The record is from RefSeq and is a predicted model, not a curated record. The transcript is spliced from 3 exons. Lineage: Eukaryota; Metazoa; Chordata; Actinopteri; Siluriformes; Siluridae.
CACCCACACCCACCCCCCGGACAGUGGCAUAAAACAAUGGCAGAGAAUUUACCUUCUCAUCUGAAGAAGAUUGCGAUUCUGAUGAGGAGCGUUUGCAUUUUGAAGAGCGAGGACUUUCCAGCAAGUUGCUAUGAUGAGAGUGUGGCUGCAUCACCCCUGCCUUCACUGGAAACUCACACCAGGCCACGCAGGUGUUGCUCCAUUUUCAGUUCGAUAGAGAAUCAUCCUGAAUGUGAUCAAGCACCUCAAGUAAUCAUUUUGAAAGCACACCAUAGCACAAAGUUUCCAUAGUAACCUGAGCUUAUAACGGCUGCUGAGAUGACAUGUGACUUUACCAAUCAGCCAUUGGCUCGUCUAUUCAGAAGGCGCGAUAUCUUCUUUGCGCGUUGCACAGUGAGUGCACUUUCUUUCUCACUUGCAAUAGGAGUGCGUGAAAUGAGGGAAAAUGUCGGUUAAUUGUCCAUCCCUGUCGAGUUUUUCCACAGAUGAACUAAUUUAGAAAAUAAUUGAAGCUGGAAUACAGAUAAGCAAAGAAGAGGCCAAGA